This 490-nucleotide ribosomal RNA is filed under the name uncultured bacterium. Its description in RNAcentral is "bacterial SSU rRNA". It matches the Rfam family "Bacterial small subunit ribosomal RNA", at positions 501 to 992 of the family's 1533-position model. The record is from RNAcentral.
CUACGUGCCAGCAGCCGCGGUAAUACGGAGGGUGCGAGCGUUAAUCGGAAUAACUGGGCGUAAAGGGCACGCAGGCGGUGACUUAAGUGAGAUGUGAAAGCCCCGGGCUUAACCUGGGAAUUGCAUUUCAUACUGGGUCGCUAGAGUACUUUAGGGAGGGGUAGAAUUCCACGUGUAGCGGUGAAAUGCGUAGAGAUGUGGAGGAAUACCGAAGGCGAAGGCAGCCCCUUGGGAAUGUACUGACGCUCAUGUGCGAAAGCGUGGGGAGCAAACAGGAUUAGAUACCCUGGUAGUCCACGCUGUAAACGAUGUCGAUUUGGGGGUUGAACUUUGAGUUUGGCGCCCGUAGCUAACGUGAUAAAUCGACCGCCUGGGGAGUACGGCCGCAAGGUUAAAACUCAAAUGAAUUGACGGGGGCCCGCACAAGCGGUGGAGCAUGUGGUUUAAUUCGAUGCAACGCGAAGAACCCUACCUACUCUUGACAUCCAGA